UAUGGAUUCCCUAGUAGCGGCGAGCGAAGCGGGAAGAGCUCAAAUUUAUAAUCUGGCACCUUCGGUGUCCGAGUUGUAAUCUCUAGAAGUGUUUUCCGCGUUGGACCGCACACAAGUCUGUUGGAAUACAGCGGCAUAGUGGUGAGACCCCCGUAUAUGGUGCGGACGCCCAACGCUUUGUGAUACACUUUCGAAGAGUCGAGUUGUUUGGGAAUGCAGCUCAAAUUGGGUGGUAAAUUCCAUCUAAAGCUAAAUAUUGGCGAGAGACCGAUAGCGAACAAGUACCGUGAGGGAAAGAUGAAAAGCACUUUGGAAAGAGAGUUAACAGUACGUGAAAUUGUUGGAAGGGAAACGCUUGAAGUCAGACUUGCUUGCCGAGCAAUCGGUUUGCAGGCCAGCAUCAGUUUUCCGGGGUGGAUAAUGGUAGAGAGAAGGUAGCAGUUUCGGCUGUGUUAUAGCUCUUUGCUGGAUACACCUUGGGGGACUGAGGAACGCAGUGUGCCUUACGGCGGAUUUCUCGAGAUCUUCACACUUAGGAUGCUGGUGGAAUGGCUUUAAACGACCCGUCUUGAAACAACGGACCCA
This 585-nucleotide ribosomal RNA is filed under the name Rhodotorula mucilaginosa. RNAcentral describes it as "partial 26S ribosomal RNA". It matches the Rfam family "Eukaryotic large subunit ribosomal RNA", at positions 69 to 669 of the family's 3401-position model. Lineage: Eukaryota; Fungi; Basidiomycota; Microbotryomycetes; Sporidiobolales; Sporidiobolaceae. The record is from RNAcentral.